This 894-nucleotide unclassified non-coding RNA is filed under the name Hevea brasiliensis (rubber tree). The record is from RNAcentral. Lineage: Eukaryota; Viridiplantae; Streptophyta; Magnoliopsida; Malpighiales; Euphorbiaceae.
UUUCUUUCUCAUCUUGUAUUGCAAAGUUGCAGGAGCACAGUCCAGUGCAGUUUCCCCUUGUGCAUUCUUGUAUUCCAGGCUUGCUCCAGAUUCCAUGAGUGUAAAAGCUAUAUCAGUUUGGUUAAAGAGUGCCGCCAAAUGUAGUACAGACAGGCCUUGCUUGUCGCGAUAAUUUGCAUCCACACCCUCACUGAGUAUCUUCUUGACUGCAGCAGUAUCACCAUUCUUUAUGGCUUCCCUCAAACCCUCCCCAUUUACUUCAUAAUCCAUCUGAGGUUUAUCAAUACCACCAUUUGUUAUUUGACCAUAACUGAAAACAGAACUAGGUUUGUUGUUUGAAGUGGAACCUCUGUUCUUAGGAAUGGCAUCUGUCUUCUUUGGUUUUGGAUUUGACUGAGAAGCACUGGUAGAAGGGGUUUUCAUCUGCAGGGCAGGUGCAUCUAUGGUUGGAGCCGGAGUUUCACAUAUGCAUAAAGGCAUCCCACACUUGCACUCUAUAACACCAGUAGCAGAAUUAUGCUGGGCAGCUGUUUCUGUGUUUGAAUCUGUUUCUGAACCAAUGUCUAAUCUAGAAACUUUAUCUGCUACAGAAUUCACUCCAUCUGAGGAAGCCUGUUGAUUGACAUUUCCUGAGCGAGUAGAAUCAUUAAAACAAUCAGCACAAACUCUAACACUUGAGUGGAUUCCAAAUUGAGGCAGAGCCAUUUGAUUUGACGAGUGUUCAUGACAUAGUGUCCUUCCACAGCGACGGCAAUGAUGCCUUCGUCGGAAAGUACUGAAGCUGCAUUUGCAGACGUCACACCGAUCUGCUUCCUGGAAAUGAGGCGGCUCCAAUGCCAUUUCUGGUCUCCGAUCUUUCCCCUCGGCCGCCGAUUUUCGGUAUUCUCAGCUCUG